Molecule: ribosomal RNA, 386 nt
Filed under: uncultured crenarchaeote
Lineage: Archaea; Thermoproteati; Thermoproteota
Description: bacterial SSU rRNA
Rfam family: Archaeal small subunit ribosomal RNA
Source: RNAcentral
CGCGGCAUACAGCUCAGUAACACGCUGGCCAAUCUGCCCUUAGGACAAGAACAACCCCGGGNAAACUGGGGCUAACUCCUGAUAGGCGAAGAACACUGGAAUGUGUCUUCACCUAAAAAACUCCGCGUUACGCUCGUGGAGUCGCCUAAGGAUGAGGCCGCGACCGAUCAGGUUGUUGGUGAGGUAAUGGCUCACCAAGCCUUUAACCGGUGCGGGCCGUGAGAGCGGGAGCCCGGAGAUGGGCACUGAGACAAGGGCCCAGGCCCUACGGGGCGCAGCAGUCGCGAAAACUUUGCAAUAAGCGAAAGCUUGACAGGGCUAUCCCGAGUGCCAUCCGCUGAGGAAGGCUUUUACCCAGUCUAAAACGCUGGGGGAAUAAGGAGAGG